CAUUGAGAAGCUACACAGCAUUAACCUUUUAAGUUAAAGAUUGAGAGCAAAACCUCUCCUCAAUGA
This 66-nucleotide transfer RNA is filed under the name Moschus berezovskii (Chinese forest musk deer). RNAcentral's name for it is "tRNA-Lys". RNAcentral also lists the same sequence under 1 other name. Lineage: Eukaryota; Metazoa; Chordata; Mammalia; Artiodactyla; Moschidae. The record is from RNAcentral.